Molecule: ribosomal RNA, 123 nt
Organism: Sclerotinia borealis F-4128
Lineage: Eukaryota; Fungi; Ascomycota; Leotiomycetes; Helotiales; Sclerotiniaceae
Source: Rfam
ACAUACGACCUGGAUAGACUGAAGAGAAUUGGGCAUCCCGUCCGCUCUGCCAUACACAAGCUUCAGAUCGGUGGAUUAGUAGUUGGGUGGGUGACCACCAGCGAAUCCCCACUGUUGUAUGUU